UUAAGCGACUAAGCGUACACGGUGGAUGCCCGGCAGUCAGAGGCGAUGAAGGACGUGCUAAUCUGCGAAAAGCGUCGGUAAGGUGAUAUGAACCGUUAUAACCGGCGAUGUCCGAAUGGGGAAACCCAGUGCAAUUCGUUGCACUAUCGUUAACUGAAUACAUAGGUUAACGAGGCGAACCGGGGGAACUGAAACAUCUAAGUACCCCGAGGAAAAGAAAUCAACCGAGAUUCCCCCAGUAGCGGCGAGCGAACGGGGAGCAGCCCAGAGUCUGAAUCAGCUUGUGUGUUAGUGGAACGGUCUGGAAAGUCCGACGGUACAGGGUGAUAGUCCCGUACACCAAAAUGCACAGGCUGUGAACUCGAAGAGUAGGGCGGGACACGUGGUAUCCUGUCUGAAUAUGGGGGGACCAUCCUCCAAGGCUAAAUACUCCUGACUGACCGAUAGUGAACCAGUACCGUGAGGGAAAGGCGAAAAGAACCCCGGCGAGGGGAGUGAAAAAGAACCUGAAACCGUGUACGUACAAGCAGUGGGAGCACCUUCGGGUGUGACUGCGUACCUUUUGUAUAAUGGGUCAGCGACUUAUAUUCUGUAGCAAGGUUAACCGUAUAGGGGAGCCGCAGGGAAACCGAGUCUUAACUGGGCGUUAAGUUGCAGGGUAUAGACCCGAAACCCGGUGAUCUAGCCAUGGGCAGGUUGAAGGUUGGGUAACACUAACUGGAGGACCGAACCGACUAAUGUUGAAAAAUUAGCGGAUGACUUGUGGCUGGGGGUGAAAGGCCAAUCAAACCGGGAGAUAGCUGGUUCUCCCCGAAAGCUAUUUAGGUAGCGCCUCGUGAACUCAUCUUCGGGGGUAGAGCACUGUUUCGGCUAGGGGGUCAUCCCGACUUACCAACCCGAUGCAAACUACGAAUACCGAAGAAUGUUAUCACGGGAGACACACGGCGGGUGCUAACGUCCGUCGUGAAGAGGGAAACAACCCAGACCGCCAGCUAAGGUCCCAAAGUCAUGGUUAAGUGGGAAACGAUGUGGGAAGGCACAGACAGCCAGGAUGUUGGCUUAGAAGCAGCCAUCAUUUAAAGAAAGCGUAAUAGCUCACUGGUCGAGUCGGCCUGCGCGGAAGAUGUAACGGGGCUAAACCAUGCACCGAAGCUGCGGCAGCGACACUAUGUGUUGUUGGGUAGGGGAGCGUUCUGUAAGCCUGCGAAGGUGUGCUGUGAGGCAUGCUGGAGGUAUCAGAAGUGCGAAUGCUGACAUAAGUAACGAUAAAGCGGGUGAAAAGCCCGCUCGCCGGAAGACCAAGGGUUCCUGUCCAACGUUAAUCGGGGCAGGGUGAGUCGACCUAAGGCGAGGCCGAAAGGCGUAGUCGAUGGGAAACAGGUUAAUAUUCCUGUACUUGGUGUUACUGCGAAGGGGGACGGAGAAGGCUAUGUUAGCCGGGCGACGGUUGUCCCGGUUUAAGCAUGUAGGCUGGUUGUCGGGCAAAUCCGGAUAAUCAAGGCUGAGGUGUGAUGACGAGGCACUACGGUGCUGAAGUAACAAAUGCCCUGCUUCCGUGAAAAGCCUCUAAGCAUCAGGUAACAUCAAAUCGUACCCCAAACCGACACAGGUGGUCAGGUAGAGAAUACCAAGGCGCUUGAGAGAACUCGGGUGAAGGAACUAGGCAAAAUGGUGCCGUAACUUCGGGAGAAGGCACGCUGGUGUGUAGGUGAAGCCCCUGCGGGUGGAGCUGAGACCAGUCGAAGAUACCAGCUGGCUGCAACUGUUUAUUAAAAACACAGCACUGUGCAAACACGAAAGUGGACGUAUACGGUGUGACGCCUGCCCGGUGCCGGAAGGUUAAUUGAUGGGGUUAUCCGUAAGGAGAAGCUCUUGAUCGAAGCCCCGGUAAACGGCGGCCGUAACUAUAACGGUCCUAAGGUAGCGAAAUUCCUUGUCGGGUAAGUUCCGACCUGCACGAAUGGCGUAAUGAUGGCCAGGCUGUCUCCACCCGAGACUCAGUGAAAUUGAACUCGCUGUGAAGAUGCAGUGUACCCGCGGCAAGACGGAAAGACCCCGUGAACCUUUACUAUAGCUUGACACUGAACAUUGAGCCUUGAUGUGUAGGAUAGGUGGGAGGCUUUGAAGCGUGGACGCCAGUCUGCGUGGAGCCAACCUUGAAAUACCACCCUUUAAUGUUUGAUGUUCUAACGUUGGCCCCUUACCGGGGUUGCGGACAGUGUCUGGUGGGUAGUUUGACUGGGGCGGUCUCCUCCCAAAGCGUAACGGAGGAGCACGAAGGUUAGCUAAUCCUGGUCGGACAUCAGGAGGUUAGUGCAAUGGCAUAAGCUAGCUUGACUGCGAGCGUGACGGCGCGAGCAGGUGCGAAAGCAGGUCAUAGUGAUCCGGUGGUUCUGAAUGGAAGGGCCAUCGCUCAACGGAUAAAAGGUACUCCGGGGAUAACAGGCUGAUACCGCCCAAGAGUUCAUAUCGACGGCGGUGUUUGGCACCUCGAUGUCGGCUCAUCACAUCCUGGGGCUGAAGUAGGUCCCAAGGGUAUGGCUGUUCGCCAUUUAAAGUGGUACGCGAGCUGGGUUUAGAACGUCGUGAGACAGUUCGGUCCCUAUCUGCCGUGGGCGCUGGAGAAUUGAGGGGGGCUGCUCCUAGUACGAGAGGACCGGAGUGGACGCAUCACUGGUGUUCGGGUUGUCAUGCCAAUGGCACUGCCCGGUAGCUAAAUGCGGAAGAGAUAAGUGCUGAAAGCAUCUAAGCACGAAACUUGCCCCGAGAUGAGUUCUCCCUGAGACUUUAAGUCUCCUGAAGGAACGUUGAAGACGACGACGUUGAUAGGCCGGGUGUGUAAGCGCAGCGAUGCGUUGAGCUAACCGGUACUAAUGAACCGUGAGGCUUAACCU
RNAcentral lists this ribosomal RNA (2894 nucleotides) under Klebsiella pneumoniae. Its description in RNAcentral is "23S ribosomal RNA". It matches the Rfam family "Bacterial large subunit ribosomal RNA". Lineage: Bacteria; Pseudomonadati; Pseudomonadota; Gammaproteobacteria; Enterobacterales; Enterobacteriaceae. The record is from RNAcentral.